ACCGAUUGGUGCUUUCCUGAAGUCGUGGUAUAAUGCAUCUGCAGGACGCCCCUGCAUGUCGACAUGCCCAAACAUUGCGUGUAGCUCUCCUAGCUAGAUUGAUGCUCAGUACUAGUAUUUUCUCUAGCCAGAUGCAUGGCGGCAGGGUUACCUGCAUGCAUGUGUAUGUACCUAGACAGCAAUCUGUACUAUUAUGGUGGAAGGGCCCCCUAUAGCUGUGGCUAGUUUUCUCACGUAGCUAUAGGUCUGGGAGGCCAGGCACAUCAUGCUCAGGCGUACCAAGCCCAGGCAAGCGGGAGAGGAUGUUAAUAAACUGCCUCACUCGCGACCGGCACCACCAUAAUGGCCAUUGAUGUCCACUCCCAUGAGGCCCCCGGCUUUUACAGACGGCCCCACACUUGCGUGGAGCUUGUAGAAUGUAACCUGGUGAUCUCAACAUCGGCAGAUAAGCCAUCUCUUAAAGGACAAAGAUUUGUGAUCACAAGGUUGCAGGUUCAAAUCUGGCAUGGAGCAAAAAUGGUCCUGCAAAUGCAACUGACAUUAGCCAGCUUUCUAUCUGGCCAUGUAUCAUGGUAAACUGUCCAAAAAACUUGAAAAGUGGGGCGGAUGACUUCUAAUAGGGUGCUGGAAUGUGAGUUGGUCGAACAAACAUCGAAACCGUGUUCCAGUACUGGUGGAUGAUGUCGGUAGUUAGGCAACACGGGAUAUAGGGGCUGCCGGUGCAUAUACAGAUUAAAAUAACUGUUGACUACUAGCGACUCUCAACCCUUUCAUCGCUGAUGCACACCGUAAUUCACACAUAUUAUGCAUGCAGGUUACGAUUAUUAUUAGCAAAGAGUUGCGGAUUCUUUACAGAAUCUCUGCAGCAUCCAUUUAUCACGGAUGCAUGGGCAAGCAUUUGGUGUGGAUGCUGUGGUCCUUGCUCCCGACAGGAGGCCUUCAAAGCAUCUCUUGGAAGAGGUGUGUGUAUUCAAUCCUUCGCUAUAGUCUAGGCGGUUAGGAUGCGAGAUUCUCACUCUCGAGACCCGGGUUCGAGUCCCGGUAGCGAAAGGAUGAAUUAUGGAGUCGUGCUGAAGUAGGCACGUCACAGAGGGUCGACAUCGUAUAGUGGUCAGUAUCCCCGCCUGUCAGGACUCGAGCCAAGACACGGAACGCGGGAGGCCGGGGUUCGAUUCCCCGUGUCGGCGGUUUUCAUCUCCACGACCGAGGUUCUUCAUGGUGGUUUCGCUGAACCACCAUCCUAGAACACUUGUGUUCACCACCUCUUCAAGGACACCUAUUUGCGCAUGCUUGCCUGGAUACAUAUCCAUAAAACAUCAAAAGAUGAAACCGAAACCUGGUAUCACACCUGGUAUCCAAGGAUGUGGUAUGGCAUGGUAGCAUGUGCAUGCUGUGUAUAGAGGGCCAUGUUGACAACAUAUUCCUGACGAGCUCGAGGUGGCAAUCGUGACUAUUGUAGGGCCGUAGGGCCACCGACACACCCAUGUCGUACCUUUGAUGCUCGCAUCCCCAGAAUAGCAACUAGCUUAUAAACUAUGUCGUAAAGCCAAACAUGCAUGGUGCCGUUUCAGUGCUGGCUACAUCAAGGAAAAACGAGUAGUAAUACCUUAAUACGGGCAGAAGGGGGAACAACUAUAUAGCACAAAUGAUCCAGUGGAUUGUUUUUCUUGUGUUGUGUGUGUGUGUGUGUGUAUGUGUGUGUGUGUGCCUCUGCUGGAUACAUUUAUACCAACCCAGCGAGUGUUUGGUGCUCCCUGCUGUUUAUUCCCGAGUUCUCUUUAACAGAUCAUUCCUCCCUUCCUGCCUGGGUGUCGUUGGCAUGUGACAGAGCGCACAAUACCUAGGACAUACACCUGGACCUGGCAACCAACCAACCAACCAACACACACACACACACUCUUUGGGCAUGUCAAACAACGAACUAGAUGGAUAGAGCACAUGCAUAGGUGUGCCUUCAAUAAGGAGGUACCGAAAAUCCAGCGUUGCCAACCUCGUAUAUAUAGGACAUACAUAAUAUAACAGUACACAUGUACAUGGGCAAGUGGGCAAACAGGAAAGCUGUAACCGUUUUUGUGUUUGUUUCGCAGUCUUUGGAUUUAUGAGUAGUAGACUGCAGUAUUGAUAGCCGUAGCUCAUAUGUUAUGAGCGGAGGCCUAUGCCGAGUUCGAUGUCCGGUUGUCCGUCCGGUUGUACGGAGCGUUUUAGAAAUUCCGGGUCGGGAGCGUGCCGUACGCGCUCAAGACAGCGCCGUAUAGAACGGAGGGUCGCCGGUUCGACCCCUAGCGUGAUUAUGUUUUUUGUUUUAUAUAUUGCACGUAUGCAUAUGCAUAUGCAAUUCAAUACAUAUAUAUGCAUAUAUUUGCAUAUGCAUAUGCAUAUAUUUGCAUAUGCAUAUGCAUAUUUGCAUAUGCAUAUGCAAAGUUUUUAUGUUUUAUAUAUGCAUAUAUGCUAUGCUAUGCUACGCUAUGCUAUGCUAUGCUAUGCUAUGCUAUGCUGCGCCAAAGCUAUGCUAUGCUAUGCUAUGCUAUGCUAUGCUGCGCCAAAGCUAUGCUAUGCUAUGCUAUGCUAUGCUAUGCUAUGCUAUGCUAUGCUAUGCUGCGCCAAAGCUAUGCUAUGCUAUGCUAUGCUAUGCUAUGCUAUGCUAUGCUAUGCUAUGCUGUGCUAUGCUAUGCUAUGCUAUGCUAUGCUAUGCUAUGCUAUGCUAUGCUAUGCUAUGCUAUGCUAUGCUAUGCUUAAGCUACGCUAUGCUAUGCUGCGCUACGCUAUGCUAUGCUAUGCUGCGCUACGCUAUGCUGCGCUAUGCUAUGCUGCGCUAUGCUAUGCUAUGCUAUGCUAUGCUGCGCUAUGCUAUGCUAUGCUAUGCUAUGCUGCUCUAUNNNNNNNNNNNNNNNNNNNNNNNNNNNNNNNNNNNNNNNNNNNNNNNNNNNNNNNNNNNNNNNNNNNNNNNNNNNNNNNNNNNNNNNNNNNNNNNNNNNNNNNNNNNNNNNNNNNNNNNNNNNNNNNNNNNNNNNNNNNNCGCCCACUUAGCAAGGCACUUGCUUGCUUUAGGAAAAGCAACGAAACUGCAUUCAGCUAGUGUGCAGUAUACUUGGCAUCAGAGUUGUGGGAUGACAUGGAAAACAGAGCUGUUGGGGGUGGGCGGCCCAAAGUCAAGUAGCAAAGGCAGUUGCAUUAGCAACAGCAAGGAAACUGCACUACAAUGCGCUAGUGCGUGGUAGACUUGGCAUCCGAACUGUGACACGACAUGGAAAACCCAGCUGCUGAGGUGCUGUCACCGUAGGAUGACAACCGCAGCUGCUGCAGGUUUGAUGGCCGGAAGCCAGCGAUCUGCUGGGAGUGCCUGUGGGAGUGCCUGUGGGACUACAUGGACCAAAAUCCAAUGCCGCACACGAUGCGAUUCGAACGCACGCGGGGAAACCUCACCGCCUUAGCAGGGCGGCGCCUUAACCACUCGGCCACAGGUGCACAGCAAUCCGCAAGCUCCAGAUUGCUGCUGAAGUUGAGCUAAUAUUGGGGACACACCCUAGCUGUCAGUAACUCCAAGUUCGACAUGAUGACGUAACAUGAUGACGUAACAAAAGCAACAAUAAACAAAUGACGCACAAACAAGCAAGGAUGCCACACAUAUCUAUUUGCUAGCUCCAUGAAAGGAACCAGAACCUGUCAGCAACACCGUACCAUGCUACCAGGGAAAGCUGUCACAUCUACAGCCCCGUCAUAUCAUGCAUCAGUUUGUCGUCAUUAAGAGAGCACCCAGACUCUGGGUGCCAUGGCUGUGGCAUGUAUCAUCCAUCCAAUCCCCUUUUUCGUUCUGAACUUAUACCAUCCCCAAUCGCCGCAUCUCAACGCACAACAGGCCAGGAUGCCCUAUUCAUGAUUUGCAAGUUGACCAACAACCCGCAAGAAGCGUGCAUAAUACUCAAUGACUUAACAGCCGUACGCGGGAGCCUUGUACGACAGGGCAAGUUCAAGCCGUACGGCGAGCGGUUGGCUGUGGAAUUCGUACAUGCAAGGGGCCGAGCGCGCGCCUAGUGUCUGUCUGUCUGUCUGUCUGUCUGUCUGUCUGUCUGUCUGUCUGUCUGUCUGUCUGUCUGUCUGUCUGUCUGUCUGUCUGUCUGUCUGUCUGUCUGUCUGUCUGUCUGUCUGUCUGUCUGUCUGUCUGUCUGUCUGUCUGUCUGUCUGUCUGUCUGUCUGUCUGUCUGUCUGUCUGUCUGUCUGUCUGUCUGUCUGUCUGUCUGUCUGUCUGUCUGUCUGUCUGUCUGUCUGUCUGUCUGUCUGUCUGUCUGUCUGUCUGUCUGUCUGUCUGUCUGUCUGUCUGUCUGUCUGUCUGUCUGUCUGUCUGUCUGUCUGUCUGUCUGUCUGUCUGUCUGUCUGUCUGUCUGUCUNNNNNNNNNNNNNNNNNNNNNNNNNNNNNNNNNNNNNNNNNNNNNNNNNNACAAUAAUGGCAUUGAUGUCACUCCCAUGAGGCCCCCGGCUUUUACAGACGGCCCCACACUUGCGUGGAGCUUGUAGAAUGUAACCUGGUGAUCUCAACAUCGGCAGAUAAGCCAUCUCUUAAAGGACAAAGAUUUGUGAUCACAAGGUUGCAGGUUCAAAUCUGACAUGGAGCAAAAAUGGUCCUGCAAAUGCAACUGACAUUAGCCAGCUUUCUAUCUGGCCAUGUAUCAUGGUAAACUGUCCAAAAAACUUGAAAAGUGGGGCGGAUGACUUCUAAUAGGGUGCUGGAAUGUGAGUUGGUCGAACAAACAUCGAAACCGUGUUCCAGUACUGGUGGAUGAUGUCGGUAGUUAGGCAACACGGAUAUAGGGGCUGCCGGUGCAUAUACAGAUUAAAAUAACUGUUGACUACUAGCGACUCUCAACCCUUUCAUCGCUGAUGCACACCGUAAUUCACACAUAUUAUGCAUGCAGGU
Molecule: long non-coding RNA, 4912 nt
Filed under: Volvox carteri
Lineage: Eukaryota; Viridiplantae; Chlorophyta; Chlorophyceae; Chlamydomonadales; Volvocaceae
Description: long non-coding RNA (VCAR_LNC002318)
Rfam family: tRNA (bases 978-1050)
Source: RNAcentral